UUAUUAAGCAUCAAAUGCAUGUCAGGCAAAAUUCUAGGCCCCAGGGAUACAGUAGCAGACAAGAUAGACACAGAGUUUCUGUUCUAGUGGUAGUAGACAAACAAGAAUCAAAUAAGCCAAAAAAGGAGGGUAAAUCACAGACUUUGAUAAGUGGUAUGCGGAAAAUUACAGUGGUAGUGACGUGAAAUUGAGUGGAAGGUCAAAGAAGGUGUCUGAGGAGGUGACCCUUCUUUGUGAUCCGAAUGAUGAGGAAACCAGCUCUGUGAAGAUCAGAAGGACCAGCCUGUACAAAGGCCCAAAGUUGGGAAGAAAGUAAGUGAAUGGGAGGCACAGAAAGGCCAGCGUGUCUGGAUGAAGGCAACAAUAGCAGGAGUUGAGCUGGGAGAGAAAAAUAGGGGCUACAUCACAUAGGUCAGGAAGAGGAGCUUGGAUUUGAUCCCAUAUGCACGGGAAGCCGCUUGAUGCUGAGGUGAAGAUGGGCAGAAAAAUGAACCAUCAAAAAAGAAGAAGGAGGAUCAAUGCAUGACUCAUGAAUCAGUCUUGCUUUACUGAAAAGUUUCAGAAAACUCAAGAUUUUCUUCAUGCACUCAAUUUGUGGUAAUACAACCUCAAGCAAAUCGUAUAUUUAUCUGAUAUGUGCAUGCUGGAAACUUUCCGUCUCAUACUUUCCAGAAUCUCAGGACUCACCCAGCACAAGAGGGGGCUGGAAUUUGGAAAACAUAAGAUUGAUUUUAAACCUAAAGACUCAGUGAAGAUUUCUGUAUCUGAAUCUCUCUGCCUACCUAUUAAAUGUUGUUCCCAGGGAGAUCAGCUCCAACUGGAACCAGAGUGAAGCUUCUAUUCCCCUAUCCAUGGACAACACCUUCACCCACCUAGGCAUCUAGACAUCUAGACACAGACCUAUGUCCCACCUAGAGAUCUAGGCACUGAGACAUCUAGAUACCUAGAUAUGUCUAGACAUCUUCCCAGCAAAAAAUCCCAAUCCAACUCGCUCCUGGUCAUUCCUACUUGGAUGUCUCACAGACACUUCAAAAUCAAUGUUGUAAACGAAAUUAAUCCUCUAUCUCCUGACCCUCAAUGGCCCUCCCUCAUCAUUUGUGUCUUGCAGAAUGACCCCACCAUUCACCAGUUUUUCCAGCUGAAACCCAGGAGGCCACAACAGGAUUUGAGCGGCCUAUAGAGAUCCAAAUGCUACUGACAGCAGCACUGAGGGCCCACUCAACUGCAGGAUGAGGGGCCCUGGCAUGACAGGUACUCCUGAUGAGUACUUUAGCCAUCCUGCUCCAAACUGCUUCACUCGCUUUAUCCCUGCAAUUGCCUAAGAUAACAGUCCCCAGAACUGAUUAGCCAGUUUCAUCUAAGGUGGGGUCCGCAAACUGGUUAAUUUUCCAAAUAAAGUUUUAUUGGGACUCAGCCACACCCA
RNAcentral lists this long non-coding RNA (1423 nucleotides) under Homo sapiens (human). RNAcentral describes it as "HSALNT0202687". Lineage: Eukaryota; Metazoa; Chordata; Mammalia; Primates; Hominidae. The record is from RNAcentral.